RNAcentral lists this ribosomal RNA (301 nucleotides) under uncultured bacterium. RNAcentral describes it as "partial 16S ribosomal RNA". It matches the Rfam family "Bacterial small subunit ribosomal RNA", at positions 509 to 809 of the family's 1533-position model. The record is from RNAcentral.
CAGUCGCCACGGGAAUACGUAGGUGGCAAGCGUUGUCCGGAAUUAUUGGACGUAAAGCGCGCGCAGGUGGUUUAAUAAGUCUGAUGUGAAAGCCCGCGGCUCAACCGUGGAGGGUCAUUGGAAAUUGUUAAACUUGAGUGCAGGAGAGAAAAGUGGAAUUCCUAGUGUAGCGGUGAAAUGCGUAGAGAUUAGGAGGAACACCAGUGGCGAAGGCGGCUUUUUGGCCUGUAACUGACACUGAGGCGCGAAAGCGUGGGGAGCAAACAGGAUUAGAUACCCCCGUAGUCCCUGUCUCUUAUAA